RNAcentral lists this ribosomal RNA (360 nucleotides) under Salmonella enterica subsp. enterica. Its description in RNAcentral is "partial 23S ribosomal RNA". It matches the Rfam family "Bacterial large subunit ribosomal RNA", at positions 462 to 722 of the family's 2925-position model. Lineage: Bacteria; Pseudomonadati; Pseudomonadota; Gammaproteobacteria; Enterobacterales; Enterobacteriaceae. The record is from RNAcentral.
AAGGCUAAAUACUCCUGACUGACCGAUAGUGAACCAGUACCGUGAGGGAAAGGCGAAAAGAACCCCGGCGAGGGGAGUGAAAAAGAACCUGAAACCGUGUACGUACAAGCAGUGGGAGCCCCACCACCAAAGCAUUCUCUGGUGUUGAAGGCCCUGCAAAGCAGCAUCGCGGUGGCGGAGCGUCGUUUGCGACGCCCAACACACAAAACAAGCGGUGAGUGCUUUGGGGUGGGGUGACUGCGUACCUUUUGUAUAAUGGGUCAGCGACUUAUAUUCUGUAGCAAGGUUAACCGAAUAGGGGAGCCGCAGGGAAACCGAGUCUUAACCGGGCGUUAAGUUGCAGGGUAUAGACCCGAAACC